RNAcentral lists this long non-coding RNA (403 nucleotides) under Homo sapiens (human). RNAcentral describes it as "HSALNT0061796". Lineage: Eukaryota; Metazoa; Chordata; Mammalia; Primates; Hominidae. The record is from RNAcentral.
UUUGCCUGCAGUCAACUGGAGCCAGAACUUCUCAGAGGGAGAUGGGGAGUCCUGGUGGAUGUGUGCCUAUGGCCACCCUCUGCCAGAGCUGCUCCGUGCUUAAAAGCCCCUGGGCUCCAAGUGGGCUGAAGCCCUACCUCUACCUACUCUCCAGGCACAUCCUCCUGCCAGCUCAAACACCCAUGGAAGAAGUGGGGGCUCUGUAGCUAGGAUCCCAGAGGUCUGUAGUGAGAGUGAGCUGUAUAUCAGUCCCUUCAUUCACUCCUUGCCUGGGAGCUGUUGAAGGCCAGGAACUAGCCCUAGCAUUCAGGUACCCCAAUGUUCCCAGCUUCCUCCCUCUUCAGCCUCUGAGUCUGCAUUGCUUCUCCAUCCGCUCCAGGUUCUUGGAUAUUUCCAGAAGAGU